Molecule: transfer RNA, 64 nt
Filed under: Limnia unguicornis
Lineage: Eukaryota; Metazoa; Arthropoda; Insecta; Diptera; Sciomyzidae
Description: tRNA-Tyr
Source: RNAcentral
GAUUAGAUGGCUGAAAACAGGCAGUAAACUGUAAAUUUAUCUAUGAGGUUAAUCUCUCUAAUCA